This 207-nucleotide ribosomal RNA is filed under the name uncultured bacterium. Its description in RNAcentral is "partial 16S ribosomal RNA". It matches the Rfam family "Bacterial small subunit ribosomal RNA", at positions 568 to 774 of the family's 1533-position model. The record is from RNAcentral.
CUCGUAGGCGGUUCGUCGCGUCCGGUGUGAAAGUCCAUCGCUUAACGGUGGAUCCGCGCCGGGUACGGGCGGGCUUGAGUGCGGUAGGGGAGACUGGAAUUCCCGGUGUAACGGUGGAAUGUGUAGAUAUCGGGAAGAACACCAAUGGCGAAGGCAGGUCCCUGGGCCGUUACUGACGCUGAGGAGCGAAAGCGUGGGGAGCGAACA